This 890-nucleotide long non-coding RNA is filed under the name Olea europaea (common olive). RNAcentral's name for it is "long non-coding RNA (OEUR_LNC014414)". Lineage: Eukaryota; Viridiplantae; Streptophyta; Magnoliopsida; Lamiales; Oleaceae. The record is from RNAcentral.
AGCACUAAGUAGCAUUGUAUGGAACCCAUUUUCAUUUUAUACAUACAAAACCCUAAACCACCGAAACAAAGAGGGAAAAAAGGAAAAAAAGGAGAAAAGGGGAAGAAAAAAGAAAGACGAAGAAGAAUUGAAAAUUUAGCGACAUCGUCUUUCUUCAGUCUCUCGUGGGUGGUGCUAAAUUUAUAGAGAGCAGAUGGGAAGGAAAAGAUAAAAAAAAAAAAAAGAAAGAAAGAAGAAAAAGUAAAGACGACGAAGUGUUCGAUUGAAAUUUGGAGCAUCUGACACAUAUCUCAUACUUAUACCCAUGUCGUGUCAGACACAAGGAUGCUUUGACUAUUUUGAAGAGUCCCAGCAUUAGAGAGCAAAAGUAGGACACAUGAAAUUUCUAUUUUCAGGUUUCUAUUUCGUGUAGAUCCAAGUUUUUUUGGGCCACGCAAAAUAAGGUUUGGGUUGGCUUUCUUGUUUAGCGUCUCAAUAGACCUGGAGGUAACUGACAUAAUACGACAGAGCUCUUGUUUUCUUCAAAAUUAGAAAACUAAUGUAUAAAGAAUUAUUGGAGUUGGAUGUGUGAAACGCAUGGUGGUCAAUGUAUGACAGACACACGAGUCACCUGCAAAUUAAUUACAGCUGGUACGAACAAGCUACUGGAUUGUGUGGGCUAUAUUUCGUGAUUGAAUUAUCGUCUUCGUUUAUUAAUUGUAGAUUCAAGAUAUAUCAUGUGAUGUCUCAUUAGACAAGCCAUUGAUUUGUUAGUUUAUGUCAAAUAGGAGUGGCAAGUAGGCGGGUUAUUUGAGUUCAGGCUGGUCGAAGUGGGCUGAUCUAAAAGCAUGUCAGAUGCUAAGCCACUAAUUGACAUUGUGGGAUUGAGAUUGGAUUGUGUCGAAAAAAAU